UACGGAGGGUGCAAGCGUUGCUCGGAAUUAUUGGGCGUAAAGGGCAAGUAGGUGGUCUCAUUUGUCAGGGGUGAAAGCCUUGGGCUUAACCCGAGAAGUGCCCCUGAAACGGUGAGACUGGAGUCCUGGAGAGGCGAGUGGAAUUCCCGGUGUAGCGGUGAAAUGCGUAGAGAUCGGGAGGAACACCAGAGGCGAAGGCGGCUCGCUGGACAGGUACUGACACUCAACUGCGAAAGCGUGGGGAGCAAACAGG
This 253-nucleotide ribosomal RNA is filed under the name uncultured bacterium. Its description in RNAcentral is "partial 16S ribosomal RNA". It matches the Rfam family "Bacterial small subunit ribosomal RNA", at positions 524 to 776 of the family's 1533-position model. The record is from RNAcentral.